RNAcentral lists this ribosomal RNA (511 nucleotides) under uncultured bacterium. RNAcentral describes it as "SSU rRNA". It matches the Rfam family "Bacterial small subunit ribosomal RNA", at positions 26 to 518 of the family's 1533-position model. The record is from RNAcentral.
AGAAUCAACGCUGGCGGCGUGCCUAACACAUGCAAGUCGAACGCGAAAGUCCCGAAAGGGAUAAGUAGAGUGGCAAACGGGUGAGUAACACGUGGGUGACCUGCCUUCGAGCGGGGGAUAACGUCCCGAAAGGGACGCUAAUACCGCAUAACAUCCUGCCUUUUAAGAGGUGGAGAUCAAAGCCGGGGACCGCAAGGCCUGGCACUUGAAGAGGGGCCCGCGUCUGAUUAGCUAGUUGGUGGGGUAAUGGCCUACCAAGGCAACGAUCAGUAUCCGGCCUGAGAGGGCGGACGGACACACUGGGACUGAGACACGGCCCAGACUCCUACGGGAGGCAGCAGUGGGGAAUUGUUCGCAAUGGGCGCAAGCCUGACGACGCAACGCCGCGUGGAGGAUGAAGACCUUCGGGUCGUAAACUCCUUUCGAUCGAGACGAAUGUUUCCGGGUGAACAAUCCGGGAAAGUGACGGUACCGAGAGAAGAAGCCCGGCUAACUCUGUGCCAGCAGCCGC